CAUCACAAACGCAGCGGCAGCGCGCGGAGGGAACUCAAAGCCUGACUGGUUCUUCCUUAAGCUGGACGCGAGCUGGUUGGCAACCGGCCUUCAGUGGGUGGCCUUCAGUUAGUGCCUUCAGUGGGUGCCUCAAGGUGGUGGCAUUUGGUUGCCUUUGCUGGGGAGAGGCGGCAGGUGCUAGCUCUGCAGCCGUGGGGGCAAGCGAAGGCCCGAGCUGCCCGAGAAGAGCGGAGGUGCCCCAUGGGGACCACGCUGACCUGUCGCAUGUGCACCAAAGCCAGCCCCUGGCAGGGCCGGCGGGGGGUUCUGCGGGGCCAUCCUGUGGCUCUGACAUCUGUGAGUGGGCGGCCAGCAAAGGCACAGGCCCCAGCAGAGAGGAGCAGAGACGCCCAGAACACGCUGGUCCCAUGUCAGCCCCAAGCGGGGCCAGCUGGGGUGCGGUGGGCAGAGCCUUCCUGCAGCUCUGAGAUCCAUGAGGUGCAGGUGGGAGUAGCGCCAGGCUCCACUGCGUUGGUGCCCACCCAGUCCGAUUCCGGAGCCGUGACUGGCAGCGCCCUGGCGACCAGAAGAGCCCAAAGCUCUUUGUCCUGGGCAGAGCUUGCUGCACCUUCCAGUUGCAGUAAUCAAGGAAGCGGAGUCCCUGCAAUUCUUCAAGGAACCUUGAGAACUCAGGAGGUCCUGGGGUGGCUGCAUCAAUCCUGCAGACCAAUGCCAAUCAGCAGAGGGGCCAUUCCCAGGGCCACAUGGCUGGCUGAGUUGGGCCUUGGCCAGGCACGUGCAUACGCUUACAGACACAGAGAGGAUGAAGAACGGCUACUUAGCGAGUUCGAGACAGGCAAAAAGUAA
Macaca mulatta (Rhesus monkey) is the source of this 846-nucleotide long non-coding RNA. NCBI's taxonomy places the organism in Eukaryota, Metazoa, Chordata, Mammalia, Primates, Cercopithecidae. The record is from Ensembl.